GGGGUCGACAUGGAUUUGACAGCAGGACGGAACGUUGUGUAAGCACGCAGAGAGUUGGCAGCCGCUCUCUUAAAUCCCUGACCGCCGAACAAUUAACUGGCGAAAGAAACUACGCUCUCGCUGCCUGAUUGAAGUAUAGUAGAUCUUUGGCUUAAUCGCGGCACCAGGUGCUGCGACGAGAUGUCACCCGGAGGCUCACCGCCCCGAAGCGCUCCGAACCGGUGGCACAGCAAAAUCGGGGAUAGCCAGCAGCGGCCUCGCACUGCUGGUGAAAACUUAGAGGAUAAGGCGUUGGUUGGUGGCUUGGGUCUUGCCGGCGCACGAAAACGAAGUCCAAGAUAAGCGUGUAGAAAGCACAGGGUUUCCCUGUUUGGACGAGGGUUCAAUCCCCUCCGGCUCCACU
RNAcentral lists this transfer-messenger RNA (403 nucleotides) under bovine gut metagenome. It matches the Rfam family "transfer-messenger RNA". From Rfam's summary of the family: Bacterial tmRNA, also known as 10Sa RNA or SsrA, is named for its dual tRNA and mRNA-like properties. Its role is to liberate the mRNA from a stalled ribosome. The record is from RNAcentral.